UGGAUGGAGAGAACUUUUUUUGCAGUAAAGUCAUUUUUAACCAACCUU
Molecule: transfer RNA, 48 nt
Filed under: Aleuroglyphus ovatus (brown legged grain mite)
Lineage: Eukaryota; Metazoa; Arthropoda; Arachnida; Sarcoptiformes; Acaridae
Description: tRNA-Ala
Source: RNAcentral